RNAcentral lists this ribosomal RNA (428 nucleotides) under uncultured bacterium. RNAcentral's name for it is "bacterial SSU rRNA". It matches the Rfam family "Bacterial small subunit ribosomal RNA", at positions 354 to 796 of the family's 1533-position model. The record is from RNAcentral.
GUAGGGAAUAUUGCACAAUGGAGGAAACUCUGAUGCAGCGACGCCGCGUGAGUGAUGAAGGCCUUCGGGUCGUAAAGCUCUGUCGCAGGGGAAUAACACAAUGAAGGUACCCUGUAAGAAAGGAUCGGCUAACUUCGUGCCAGCAGCCGCGGUAAGACGAGGGAUCCUAGCGUUGUUCGGAAUCAUUGGGCGUAAAGCGGAUGUAGGUGGCUAUGUAAGUCAGAUGUGAAAGCCUGGGGCUCAACCCCAGAAGUGCAUUUGAUACUGCGUAGCUUGAGUGUCGGAGAGGUUACUAGAAUUGUUGGUGUAGUGGUGAAAUACGUAGAUAUCAACAGGAAUACCGGAGGCGAAGGCGGGUAACUGGCCGAACACUGACACUGAGAUCCGAAAGCGUGGGGAUCAAACAGGAUUAGAUACCCGAGUAGUCC